UGCCAAAGAAUCUAGAUGUACAAAACCAGUGGUUAAAAGUGUUGAAGAAAAAUGAUGUUAGAACUCUUGUUGUAUGUACUCAACACUUCAAACCUGAAGAUUAUAGAGAAUUCUGUGAUAAGCCACUUUUGAAAAAAAAUGCUAUUCUGCGAGUAAAUGUUUAUGAAUUAAAUACAUACGUACAAUCCAAUGAAAAUAUUCCAAUAAAUUUCCAAGACUCUACAGCCAAAAUGGAUUGUGACAAAGAGAAAAAAA
Long non-coding RNA from Pseudomyrmex gracilis, 255 nucleotides. RefSeq lists it as uncharacterized. The record is from RefSeq and is a predicted model, not a curated record. Lineage: Eukaryota; Metazoa; Arthropoda; Insecta; Hymenoptera; Formicidae. The transcript has 2 exons.